CAAUAAGCGGAGGAAAAGAAACCAACAGGGAUUGCCCCAGUAACGGCGAGUGAAGCGGCAACAGCUCGAAUUUGAAAUCUGGCCCUUCCGGGUCCGAAUUGUAAUCUGUAGAGGACGCUUUUGGCGCGGUGCCUUCCGAGUUCCCUGGAACGGGACGCCACAGAGGGUGAGAGCCCCGUAUGGUCGGACACCAAGCCUCUAUAAAGCUCCUUCGACGAGUCGAGUAGCUUGGGAAUGCUGCUCUAAAUGGGAGGUAAACUUCUUCUAAAGCUAAAUACCGGCUAGAGACCGAUAGCGCACAAGUAGAGUGAUCGAAAGAUGAAAAGCACUUUGAAAAGAGGGUUAAACAGUACGUGAAAUUGUUGAAAGGGAAGCGCUUGUGACCAGACUUGCGCCGGGCUGAUCAUCCAGCGGUUUCCGCUGGUGCACUCGGCCCGGCUCAGGCCAGCGUCGGUUGUCGUGGGGGGACAAAAGCUCUGGGAAUGUGGCUCCCUCCGGGGAGUGUUAUAGCCCUAUGCAGAAUAUCCCCGCGGCGACCGAGG
This 542-nucleotide ribosomal RNA is filed under the name Cryptendoxyla hypophloia. Its description in RNAcentral is "LSU rRNA". It matches the Rfam family "Eukaryotic large subunit ribosomal RNA", at positions 44 to 593 of the family's 3401-position model. The record is from RNAcentral. Lineage: Eukaryota; Fungi; Ascomycota; Sordariomycetes; Cephalothecales; Cephalothecaceae.